UUUACGCGUGUUUGACUUCAUGUGGCGCUGCAAGAACCGAUCAGACGGAUGAUGUCAAGGUACCGCCAGAGCGAUUUGAAAUUAGACUAGUGAUUCCUCAACUCGCUCUCGCGGUACUUUGACGUCAUCGAUCACAUACGGCAACAACUCCUCCCUCCAACAUGAACCAGUUUGCGUCACCACCAGCGCUGCCGGUGAUUGGCUUACGUGGGCUUGAGCUUUUCUUGACGGCAUAUAUGCACGGGUACGUGUAAAUAAACACUUUUCUGAAAACUGACAUGUGUGCACGAUAUUAUUUUGGAAACCGGAGAGGUUGAAAUGUCCGUUUAUGAAAAUAGCCGCCCACGUGUAAACAUAACCUUAGUGACGUGAUACUGCAUGUCUGUGUGGAUGAACGGCAAAAAAAAGGUCACGGUUAUAAAAAUACCCGUGUCCGUGUGGACAAGGCCUAAGUUUGCCAUUUUGAAAUCCCACCAAAAGGCAGGAAAAUAAGGCCUAGUCCACACGGACAUGGGUAUUUCUAUAACCUGAGUUUUUCCUCCAAACAAAUCCUGUCCACACAUGCUCAGUUUAAAAGAAAUCUCUGUCCACAUGAAAAAGCAAAAACACGCUAUCAAGCACUGUCAAGAGCAUGCCACACCAGCAGGCGACAAUAUAACCUCUGACGUCAAAUACAGCAGAUAACGGCGCACACUCUGACGUCGCACGACAACACUGCAACCAGCGUUUUCUUAAAAUCCUCACCUUGGCAGGGAUUUUCAAAAAUGUUUGGUUUCAGUGCACUGAUACUGCGUUUUUGCGUGGACAAACGGCCGAACCACAUAAAAAAAUAACACGGUUAUAAAAAUACUCCGGUCCGUGUGGACUAGGUCUAAGUCUUUAAUAGAAUCUGUGUCCAUUUAGUUUACAUAUUACAAAUACACAGAUAGUGAUGCUUUGUUUUGAAUGGAGAUGGGGUGUGAGACUGACUGUGAGUGUGUACAAAAGCUUAGUUUUUAAUAAUGGUUGUUGUGGAUCCUGUAUAAAAUUUGUCUUAAGCCCUGUUUUCUCUCUCUCUCUCUCUCUCUCUCUCUCUCUCUCUCUCUCUCUCUCUCUCUCUCUCUCUCUCUCUCUCUCUCUCUCUCUCUCUCUCUCUUUCUCUCUCCCUAUACUGUAGUUUGCAAUGAAUUGUGGGAGCAUGCUAAAUGCAAAUUUUACAGUUAUGUCUGCAAUACUGUAUUUUUGAAAUAGGCUAAUAUGUAAAUGCUACAGGACAACAUGUAAUGACACUUAUUAUUUUAUUUUAUGUAUUUAUUUAAAAAGUCAGCUGUGGCACUAGUUUGGAAAUAAAAGCUUUGGCACUUUACAAUAACUGCAAUAAAUGCAGCCUAUUAAAUGAAUUAUAAACAUUCAUGUAGAUUCUGAUAAUGUACAUAUCUUUGUCAAAAAUGUUUGAUAAGAAACACAUUUAGACAACAUGUGUGCGUAGCGCAGUACGUGUGAUGUCACGACGUCAUCAGCAAAUUUGCGCCCGGUGCACAUGCGCAUUGCGAGUUUGCGCAGACAGGUGUCUACGGUCGGAGUGGAAUGAAGAAGUUGCAUCUGAUAAUUCUUCCAUUGUGUAGCAGCAACUGCAGCUGACAUGGAAUGAGGAUUAUCGGAUUCACCUCUCACUGAUCAUCCAAGGUGAAUUGAUGACCUCAAGCAAAUGGAUGUUGUCAUCUGAAGAGAAGGUUGUCCUGGGCCCAUGUUUAGAGGCAUUUGGGGCAUAUCUGACACAUAUCACAAUCAAGCUGCAUGCACACUUGAGUUUAUUCAGAGAGAAGUUGUGGGCAUCAGUCCUGAAACUGGAUAAAAAAUUUGCUGCUGGAAUGUGAGACAAAUAAAGGCAUGGAAUGAACCCAAAUGUAUGAACACUGCUACGAAAACUAAUGGACUUUGAAUGGCUUGCCAGUUAAUUCCAAUGGAAUUGAAGAAGAGACUCUGACAAGAUUUUCAAGUUUGUGUUUAAUUUAAAAGUUUAUCUUCAUAGAUAAGCAAUUUAAAGGUAGGCACAGUUAAAACUAUUUCUUGUGUGUUUGUUUAAACUGUAAAUUUAUGACUGAAGUUUGGUCACUAUGUAGUAAUGUGUUCCUUUGUGGUUAAUUAAAUGCUGCAGUGCUUAGUGGUAUUCGUUGUUGUAUUUCCAAGGCUAAAGCCUUAUUUUGUGAUCUGCAUUGUAUUGGAGAGUUUUGGAAACUAAUACUUAUUAUCUUAAUGCAUUGGAAAGUUUUGGACUAUUGAACAAUAAAUGCAUUUGGCUACAUCUGUGAUUUUCUGUUAUUUUAAGUGUUUUAGUUUACAUUACAUUAAAUGAUUUAUCACAGCAGUUAAAAAAAAUUACAGUAAUUUUUUUACAGUGUAGGCUACCAUGACACAAGUUGCAGCUCCAAAAACAUUUCUUAGUCAAGUUGUAUAGCUACAAGCAGCACAAAACCAAAGAAGUGGAUUUGAUGAAGUCAUGUUGUAGUAUUGCUGAACAAUGUUCACCAGUUAGAGAUUGAGGUGGAAUGUGAGUUAACAGUGGAUGUGGUCUUACUUUGCA
Non-coding RNA from Paramisgurnus dabryanus, 2563 nucleotides. NCBI's taxonomy places the organism in Eukaryota, Metazoa, Chordata, Actinopteri, Cypriniformes, Cobitidae. The record is from RefSeq and is a predicted model, not a curated record.